AUGGCUUAUCAUGUGUGGCAGCUUCAUGUUGACCGGAUUCAUAGGUGUUUGUCUGUGCUUUAUCAGCACAGAGAAUCUGGAGAGUGAAAUGACUGAAUUUUCUGAAGUGCACUUUGUGGAAGUCAGAAUCAAGGAUAGCUCAAAUAAUCAACGUCUGGGACAAAGUGUAUUCUGUUUGCAGCAUCAUCCCUGAUGUAUCUGCUGAGAGCCAUGAUGCAAACCAAUGAUAAUUUCACCUGUUUUCAAUUUAUUUUUUGUAGAAAUAUUUUCACAUUAAAUUAAUUGUUGCAUGUAAAUGACUUCAAGAGACAACCACAAAGAAGAAUACCUAGAUCUGAGAUGUCCAAACCAAGGCCCAUUGUCACGAUUCCCUUGUUGUCUGCCCUGUGUUUCACUAGUCUUUGUCUCAAACUCCUAUUCCCUUUGUAAAACUACACUUCCCAUGAUUCCCGGCCCUCAUCACUGCCAGCCCUGUGUCAUUGUGCUCACCUGAUCGUCGUUUGUCAUCAUCAUGUCUCCUGUGUAUUUAAACCCUGCUGUUUCUCCAUUUCCCUGUCGAUUGUUGAUGUAUGUGGAUGCUUGUUUCCGUGCUUUCUGUUCAUGUUUACCCCCGCCUGUUAACCCUUUGUAUGUCUUCUGUGGUUUUGUUUUAUUUCCCCAUUGUGGGUGUUUCCUUUGUUUUGUCUAUUUAGUUUUUCACCCUGUCAAAUAAAUCUAACUCUGCAAUUAGAUCCUCGCCCCUCGUCUGCCUUCCAGCUCAUCGUAACACCCAUAGGCAAAAGUUGGCCUGUGAUGACCUUUGAUUUGGCCAUUGAUGCAACACUUCACUGCACUAGUUAAGCAGAUUGCAGAGUAAUGUUUUUUUAUUAUGUUUAUCAUUAUUUAUAUUAUGAAAUCAUGAAGGAGGGGAACCAGGUCAACUUUUAUAUUUUAACAGUUUGAUAUAAUGCAAUGAUUACAACAAUAGAUAAUUAAUGGCAAAAUUGCAAACUUUGUUAUAACAUUCAGCACCGUUUCUUUUGUCUUUUCCUUUUGUGA
This is a long non-coding RNA of Xyrauchen texanus (razorback sucker), 1038 nucleotides long. RefSeq lists it as uncharacterized. The record is from RefSeq and is a predicted model, not a curated record. Lineage: Eukaryota; Metazoa; Chordata; Actinopteri; Cypriniformes; Catostomidae. The transcript has 4 exons.